This 255-nucleotide ribosomal RNA is filed under the name uncultured archaeon. RNAcentral describes it as "partial 16S ribosomal RNA". It matches the Rfam family "Archaeal small subunit ribosomal RNA", at positions 748 to 1002 of the family's 1478-position model. The record is from RNAcentral.
UAGCCGUAAACGAUACUCGCUAGGUGUCGGCCACGGUGCGACCGUUGUCGGUGCCGUAGGGAAGCCGUGAAGCGAGCCACCUGGGAAGUACGGCCGCAAGGCUGAAACUUAAAGGAAUUGGCGGGGGAGCACAACAACGGGUGGAGCUUGCGGUUUAAUUGGAUUCAACGCCGGAAAUCUUACCGGGACCGACAGCAACAUGAAGGCCAGGCUGAAGACUUUGCCGGAUUAGCUGAGAGGUGGUGCAUGGCGUAG